CUUCCACGCGCAUCUCUUCACGCGGCAGGGUGAAAGCAACCCAUCUCAUUCCUUCCAUCCACUCCCCAAUGCCUCCUCCUCAUCCCCAGCUGGCGGCUCGACCUCUCGCGCCCUCGCCGCCAUCAACCUCUCGUGCCCUCACAUGCCAGCCGCCGAUCUCCCGCGCCCUCACCCGCCAGCAGCCGAAGUCGCUCUCCCCCACCGACCGCCGUGCUCGGGAUUUAUGGCUGCUCCUUUGCCUCGCCCAUCUAGAUCCGCCAUCGCCUCCCUCCCUUGCUGAUGUUCAUCUUAUCUAUUUAUGCAGGGGGGCUCGUCCUUCCGUGGUGCUCAGCCACCGUCCGAUUUGGAGGGAGAAUAGGAGACCCCAACGAAAACGAGCGUGCUAGCCGCGGACCCAAGGAUGCGCGGUGAUUGCGGCAGGUCCAUGCUCCAGUUCUUCUGUUGGAACUAGGAGGGUGCAGAUAAAUAAGAGUUGUUGGCAGCAGCAACCUACACAUGUGGAAACAGUGGCUAUGGCGGCUCAAAGGGAAGUUGUGGCUGCUAGAUAGCAACUCACAACUUAGUGUCGGCUCAAAGUACAUAUAAUCUAUUUCUUCUUGGAGCUAUCUACUAUCAUAUUAUGACUCGGUGCUAGCUGAAGCUUCUAUUUUCUCGCCUUUUGUGGUGGUGAUGAUUCCUUCAACUGCAAUAGUUUUUCUACAUGCCAUUGCUAUUCCUCAUGUUGCAACCUUUUCCCGUAGAAUCAAAAGGAAUUAGAUGGAAGAAAUUGCAGGAGAGCAGGAAGGGUAUUCCUGGUGUGACAUUCAAAGGCAGUCAAAACGGCGAGGUUUAGAACGGAGGAGUUCUGUGGAAUUAUGGAUAAAAAAUUAUCAAUAACAUGUCUGUCAUUGCUCAUGUCGACCAUGGUAUGUGACCGAGUGGUGACAGUUGUCUCUAAUUAUCAAUUUUAUAUAGAGUCUUCUUGAUUGAUGAUUUUGUAGCCUUCUCUUAGUUGUACCAUAUUAAUUCUUAAAACUGGAUCAUUUAAAAUUAGUUAGAUUUAAUGAGUUGUUUCACUGUUUUCAAAUAAGUAGUUUAAGCCCUUAUUGUGUUCUUGAGCCUAUUCUUUCUGCCUUUUUAUGAUUGAUUUAUGCUCUCACAAGCUUAAAUGUAACUAUUGACAUAUGAUCUCAUGGCUCAAAGUCUUAGUUGUUGAAUGUAUUAAAAUCUAUAAGAUCUGGAGUUUGCACUAUAUUUCAUCCAGCGGUAUUCCCAGUAACUGAAUGUUAAGAGCAUGACGAUCCCAGGUUGUACAUUCAGGUACUGGGAAAUGCUUUUAUCUUGUAGGCCAGUUUUACAUUUACUUUCUCAAUAACGAGAUGACCAUGAACAAGGUAUCAAGGUAUUUUCCUUGGCAUUAUUAACGUUGUGUUCAGAUUACUAAAAGAAGGAUUGAUAGAGGCAUACCUUAACUCGACUGAUGCUUUAACUGCUGCCUCUCUAAGCCUUGAUUAGCCAUGGAGAUACUCAAGUUCCAAAUCCCCAAGUGAGGCCAUCCUUCUAAGAUCCGUUCAACAGUUCAUUAAUUUGUUUGAAAUAUAUAUCUAUAUUCCAAUAUUGCUCAAUCUCCAGCUGGCCUCUAGGUUAUCAGAUGAAAUCCGGUUAAAUUUUAGGGAGGUUGAGUAGGAGUGUUUGGAACUAAAGGCUUUGUUGUUGUUGUUUGAGUAGAAGUAUCUCCCUUUUCCGUAUAAAUUUUGUUGCUAUGAAUAGUUGCAUUGUUACGUCAGUGAAAACUUCCUGCGCGUACUAUGUGUUCCUCUAGACUUGAUUGAAAGUAUACCUUAUGUUAUCCAGUUUCUCACUACACAUGUUACCUUUGUUGCUGAAUUUUGCCUAUUGUUUAUAUAUAGUAGACUCACAUGAUUACCUGAUGACUCAUUCACGCAAGAACUAUUGUUAAUUUUUUCCUUUUCUGCAAUGAUGGUCGUAGCCCUUUGAUUCUACAAGCCGCAAAGGAGUGAAGUGUAGAAAAUAUGUCCAUUGUCGUUGAAUUGGUGGGAUUGUCACCAAGUUAGUGCUGCAGAUUGUUUCUAUUUUAGAGCAAGAAGCCAAAUCAUGUAGUUCAUUGUAAAUCUUGAAAAACUUGUUUAUUGUCACUUCUAUAUCUGUUAUAAACUUUUUUUCGUGAUGUGGUACUUGUCAAUCUUGGUUUGCCCUUCCAUUUCAAGUCUGCCCUUAAAUUCUAGCAGACCAAAAAGUACUUGUUUCUUCAAUUGGUUUAUCGUUUCAUGUUUGCACUUAUAUUACAGUACAACAUUUCAUAAACAUGGCAUUGGGCAUUGUUUGUCCAGUUCCCUUCAAAAAAGAAGAGAUGGCUAUAGAGAGUGGAUCCUUCUAACAUAACAGAGCAGAGGAGUGGGAACUAUAAACAUGCCUCACUGAAGAGAUGAAAAAUGUUGUGCAAGGCAUUGGUUGUUAAGCUCCUUUUAAAAAUGAAGGAAUUAUAGUGCAUUUGACUUAUAAAGGGGUUGUGAAGGACAAAAUGCUAUGGAUUCAGAGUAGUGGGAGGGCACAGUUUACCAACGGUGCAAGGACAAAAAGCGUGACCUUGAUUCCAAAGUUCCAGCUCACAUAGCAGAAUUGUAUAGAGAGGAUGCCUGCAUUUUGAAAACUCUGUUAUAUAGUUUGAGGCUAUGUUUCUUUCAAUUUUCAUUAUUAAAAGGAUCCUAUUAUUGCCAAAUUGUCAAUUAUUUUCAAAUAGCUCUUGGUUUGAAAUGGGACCUUGUGCCAUCUGGCAC
RNAcentral lists this ribosomal RNA (2777 nucleotides) under Triticum aestivum (bread wheat). RNAcentral describes it as "partial small subunit ribosomal RNA". Lineage: Eukaryota; Viridiplantae; Streptophyta; Magnoliopsida; Poales; Poaceae. The record is from RNAcentral.